Molecule: long non-coding RNA, 792 nt
Filed under: Mytilus galloprovincialis (Mediterranean mussel)
Lineage: Eukaryota; Metazoa; Mollusca; Bivalvia; Mytilida; Mytilidae
Source: RNAcentral
GUUCUACAUUUUUAUACGACCGCAAAAAUUUUAAUUUUUCGUCGCAUAUUGCUAUCACGUUGGCGUCGUCGUCGUCUUGCGUCGUCGUCGUCCGAAUACUUUUAGUUUUCGCACUCUAACUUUAGUAAAAGUGAAUAGAAAUCAAUGAAAUUUUAACACAAGGUUUAUAACCACAAAAGGAAGGUUGGGAUUGAUUUUGGAAGUUUUGGUCCCAAAAUUUUAGGAAUUAGGGGCCAAAAAGGGCCCAAAUAAGCAUUUUCUUGGUUUUCGCACUAUAACUGUAGUAUAAGUAAAUAGAAAUCUAUGAAAUUUUGACACAAGGUUUAUGACCACAAAAGGAAGGUUGGGAUUGAUUUUGGGAGUUUUAGUUCAAACAGUUUAGGAAUUAAGGGCCAAAAAAGGGACCAAAUAAGCAUUAUUCUUGGUUUUUCGCACAAUAACUUUAGUAUAAGUAAAUAGAAAUCAAUGAAAUUUAAACACAAGGUUUAUGACCACAAAAGGAAGGUUGGGAUUGAUUUUGGGAGUUGAGGUCUGAACAGUUUAGGAAUUAGGGGCCAAAAAGGGGCCCAAGUAAGCAUUAUUCUUGGUUUUCGCACCAUAACUUUAGUAUAAGUAAAUAGAAAUCUUUGAAAUUUAAACACAAGGUUUAUGACCAUAAAAGGAAGGUUGGGUUUGAUUUUGGGAGUUUUGAUCCCAACAGGUUUUUAGGAAUAAGGGGCCCAAAGGGUCCAAAAUUGAACUUUGUUUGAUUUCAUCAAAAAUUAAAUAAUUGGGGUUCUUUGAUAUGACGGA